CCUACGGGUGGCAGCAGUGAGGAAUAUUGGUCAAUGGACGCGAGUCUGAACCAGCCAAGUAGCGUGAAGGAUGACUGCCCUAUGGGUUGUAAACUUCUUUUAUAAGGGAAUAAAAUGUUCCACGUGUGGGUUUUUGUAUGUACUUUAUGAAUAAGGAUCGGCUAACUCCGUGCCAGCAGCCGCGGUAAUACGGAGGAUCCGAGCGUUAUCCGGAUUUAUUGGGUUUAAAGGGAGCGUAGAUGGAUUGUUAAGUCAGUUGUGAAAGUUUGCGGCUCAACCGUAAAAUUGCAGUUGAAACUGGCAGUCUUGAGUACAGUAGAGGUGGGCGGAAUUCGUGGUGUAGCGGUGAAAUGCUUAGAUAUCACGAAGAACUCCGAUUGCGAAGGCAGCUCACUGGACUGCAACUGACACUGAGGCUCGAAAGCGUGGGUAGCAAACAGGAUUAGAUACCCGUGUAGUC
Molecule: ribosomal RNA, 460 nt
Filed under: uncultured bacterium
Lineage: Bacteria
Description: partial 16S ribosomal RNA
Rfam family: Bacterial small subunit ribosomal RNA
Source: RNAcentral